CCCCCCUUUUUGGGGCAAAAGUUGGGCCACCCCCCCCCCGGGGAUAACCCACAGCCCCCUACGGUGUAUAAUGGUGGUUGCCGCAGAAAAAAAUAAUUAUUAAUAAAAUAUUUUUUGAAAAUUUUUAUUAUAAUAUCCACAUUCUCAUAUUACUAUUUUUUUUUAGUAUAUGAAAUUUUACUUUGAGAAAAUUAGAGUGCUUAAAGCAGGCAUAUGCCUUGAAUACUCCAGCAUGGAAUAAUAUUAAAGAUUUUUAUCUUUUUUAUUGGUUCUAAGAUAAGAAUAAUGAUUAAUAGGGACAGUUGGGGGCAUUUGUAUUUAACAGUCAGAGGUGAAAUUCUUAGAUUUGUUAAAGACAAACUAAUGCGAAAGCAUUUGCCAAGGAUGUUUUCAUUAAUCAAGAACGAAAGUUAGGGGAUCGAAGACGAUCAGAUACCGUCGUAGUCUUAACCAUAACUAUGCCAAUGAAAGACCAGGU
RNAcentral lists this ribosomal RNA (478 nucleotides) under Cryptosporidium parvum. RNAcentral's name for it is "partial 18S ribosomal RNA". It matches the Rfam family "Eukaryotic small subunit ribosomal RNA", at positions 707 to 1058 of the family's 1831-position model. The record is from RNAcentral. Lineage: Eukaryota; Apicomplexa; Conoidasida; Eucoccidiorida; Cryptosporidiidae.